UCGAGCGCGAAAGUUCUUCGGAAUGAGUAAAGCGGCGGACGGGUGAGUAACGCGUGGGAAUCUGCCUGGUAGUGGGGGACAACAGUCGGAAACGACUGCUAAUACCGCAUACGCCCUACGGGGGAAAGGGGGGGAUCUUCGGACCUCUCGCUAUCAGAUGAGCCCGCGUCGGAUUAGCUUGUUGGCGAGGUAAAGGCUCACCAAGGCGACGAUCCGUAACUGGUCUGAGAGGAUGAUCAGUCACACUGGAACUGAGACACGGUCCAGACUCCUACGGGAGGCAGCAGUGGGGAAUAUUGGACAAUGGGGGCAACCCUGAUCCAGCCAUGCCGCGUGUGUGAAGAAGGCCUUCGGGUUGUAAAGCACUUUCAGUGGGGAGAAAGGUGGUUUGGUUAAUAACCGAAUCAAUUGAUGUUACCCACAGAAGAAGCACCGGCUAACUCCGUGCCAGCAGCCGCGGUAAUACGGAGGGUGCAAGCGUUAAUCGGAAUUACUGGGCGUAAAGCGUACGUAGGUGGUUUGUUAAGCCAGCUGUGAAAUCCCCGGGCUCAACCUGGGCACUGCAGUUGGAACUGGCAAGCUAGAGUAGGGUAGAGGGGUGUGGAAUUCCAGGUGUAGCGGUGAAAUGCGUAGAUAUCUGGAGGAACAUCAGUGGCGAAGGCGACACCCUGGACUCAUACUGACACUGAGGUACGGAAGC
This 700-nucleotide ribosomal RNA is filed under the name uncultured bacterium. RNAcentral describes it as "bacterial SSU rRNA". It matches the Rfam family "Bacterial small subunit ribosomal RNA", at positions 62 to 760 of the family's 1533-position model. The record is from RNAcentral.